Molecule: ribosomal RNA, 28 nt
Filed under: Coleofasciculus chthonoplastes 'Bretagne'
Lineage: Bacteria; Bacillati; Cyanobacteriota; Cyanophyceae; Coleofasciculales; Coleofasciculaceae
Also listed under: 2 other names
Description: partial 23S ribosomal RNA
Source: RNAcentral
GGUCAAGCUACAAAGAGCUAACGGUGGA